Lacerta agilis (Sand lizard) is the source of this 276-nucleotide long non-coding RNA. RefSeq lists it as uncharacterized. The record is from RefSeq and is a predicted model, not a curated record. NCBI's taxonomy places the organism in Eukaryota, Metazoa, Chordata, Lepidosauria, Squamata, Lacertidae. The transcript is spliced from 3 exons.
CACAGCCUAUCAAAAUAGCAGCACUCGGGAUGUAGCUAUGAUUUGACAGCUUGGCACACAUUAGCAGUGACAGGGAAUAGAAAACAAGUUUGAUGUUUGGAAGAUACCUAUGAGGAUUCAAGCAUUGGGACAGAUGGGUACCAAAUCUCCAUCAUCAUGCGGCAUCACACAAGUCAGCAAGAGAAAUGACGUGAUUUCCCUCUCAACGUGUUUUUGGAGCUCAUCCUGAAUGGAUAUGAAACCUUCUAAGGAAAACGAACCCUGGAACGGGACCAU